GGCCUCCUGAUGCUUACCACAGGCUGUGGUUUUUGCACUGACUGUAUACAAAGAGGUGGCAAGGUAUACCUAUUCCAUAUACACCUCAGCCCUGUGCCUGGUCUGAAUUGUGAAUGGGUAGACAUGG
This 127-nucleotide small nucleolar RNA is filed under the name Castor canadensis (American beaver). Its description in RNAcentral is "Small nucleolar RNA SNORA51 (ENSCCNG00000012591.1)". It matches the Rfam family "Small nucleolar RNA SNORA51". From Rfam's summary of the family: ACA51 is a member of the H/ACA class of snoRNA that guide the sites of modification of uridines to pseudouridines. Lineage: Eukaryota; Metazoa; Chordata; Mammalia; Rodentia; Castoridae. The record is from Rfam by way of RNAcentral.